This 465-nucleotide ribosomal RNA is filed under the name uncultured bacterium. Its description in RNAcentral is "bacterial SSU rRNA". It matches the Rfam family "Bacterial small subunit ribosomal RNA", at positions 328 to 792 of the family's 1533-position model. The record is from RNAcentral.
UUUCCAGACUCCUACGGGAGGCAGCAGUGAGGAAUAUUGGUCAAUGGGAGAGAUCCUGAACCAGCCAAGCCGCGUGAGGGAAGACGGCCCUAUGGGUUGUAAACCUCUUUUGUCGGAGAACAAAACCCGGGACGUGUCCCGGACUGCGUGUAUCCGAAGAAAAAGCAUCGGCUAACUCCGUGCCAGCAGCCGCGGUAAUACGGAGGAUGCGAGCGUUAUCCGGAUUUAUUGGGUUUAAAGGGUGCGCAGGCGGCACGGCAAGCCGGCGGUCAAAUCGCGGGGCUCAACCCCGCCCAGCCGUCGGAACUGCCGGGCUAGAGUGGGCGAGAAGUGCGCGGAAUGCGUGGUGUAGCGGUGAAAUGCAUAGAUAUCACGCAGAACUCCGAUUGCGAAGGCAGCGCACCGGCGCCCUACUGACGCUCAGGCACGAAAGCGUGGGUAUCGAACAGGAUAGAUACCCGUGUA